CAACUUUUAAAAGAAGCUGAUGUGUGCUGGACAUCAGCUAGGUGUAUCUUUACUAUGCUAUGUAAAGAUAUUGUGAAGAUGUUCUCUCAUUUGACUUUGCCCAGGUUUCUAGUUCCUUCCUCUUUGCUCUUCUCAAAAUAAAGAUCCAGUGGAGGACAGAUGGCAGACGUUGGAUUAAUCUGUGUAGACCUGUCUGCUCAAGAUCUGGCUGUGGAGCUGCUGACACCGAAGAGCACGUGCUUGUGGGUAUUGGUUGGCAGAGCUCUUCUGGCCUUCCCGCAGACCUGUCUAAGUAUGCUCAGAGCUCUACAUGCCUGGCUUCUUACUAUUAUUUGGAAUUUCUGCCUGUGUCCUAUGUUUAAUUAGGAAAUGACCUAUUGUGACUUGCUCUGGCCAUCCCUCCCCCAUGUCACAAGACUCAGCUUGUUUUGAUUUUCUUAAGGUUUGGGCUAGAAACAAAAACAAAGAUUUUUCUUAAAGCAAUUUUCUCUAAAGCUGCUUUGAGACUUUUCCUCAUAGGUGGAAAGAUCAUGGAAUCAGCUGCUUCCUUCAGGUCUUCCAGGACAGGGCUGGGUUGAGAAUCGUGGAACGGCCCUGCUUGACCAUUUGUUAUGACUAUACCAUAACAAUACAUUUUUAAUUGACUUUGUUAGUACUUUCAUAGAAUACUAUGUUCUUCAUGAAUUGUUACUGAUGUAAAUGUACAAAUAUUGACACCACGUGUCAUUCCUUGUCCUGGAUAAUUCCUCCUGAGUUUAUGUCAUUGUCUGGUCUGUUGUAAACAGAACACUGGAUUGACCUUCUGAGCCAGCUAGCUGCUUACUCACUGCACGCAUAGUUAAAAGAUAUACACAUUUCUAAUUUCAAAAAUAGUUCUAGGAGCUACAGAGAUGGCCGAGUGGUUAUGUUUCUUGCUGAGGACCCAAGUUCAGUUCCCAGAACUCAUGUAGAGUGUUUCACCAACUUCCUAUAACUUCAGCAUUAGGGAUUCUAAUGCCUCUGGCUUCUCUGGGCAUCUGCACACUGGCUUGUGUAUGAACACACACACAUAUACACACACACAUAUAUCUUAAAAAUAAGUACAUUUGCUAGGGGAGGUGGUGCAAGCCUUUAAUCCCAGCACUUGGGAAUCAGAGGCAUGUGGAUCUCUGAGUUUGAGGGCAGUCUGGACUACAGAACAAGUUCCAGGACAGCCAGGGCAACACAGAGAAAAGCCUGUCUUGAAAAACCAGAUAAAUAGAUAAAUAAAAUUUAAAAACGUCCAUGAUUUGGGGUAUACCUUAGUGGCACAUCACUGGCAUGUAUUGUGAAGCUCUUGGGUUGAUCACCAGCAGCAGAUGUGGGACAGAAAGAUAAAGGGGAGACAACAAAAAUAACCCCAAAACUUCUAAUACUAAAAGACAAGGAAACGUUUUUGUUUUUUGGGUUUUUUUGUUUUUUUUUUGUUUGGUUGGUUUUUUUUUUUUUUUUUUGGUUUUUCAAGACAGGGUUUCUCUGUAUAGUCCUGGCUGUCCUGGAACUCACUUUGUAGACCAGGCUGGCCUCGAACUCAGAAAUCCGCCUGUCUCUGCCUCCCAAGUGCUGGGAUUAAAGGCGUGCGCCACCACUGCCCGGCCGGAAAGUAUUUUUUUAAUUCAUUGUUUUGCCUGCAUGUGUGUCUUUAUGAGGGUGUUGGAUCCCCUGAAAUUGGAGUUACAGAUAAUUAUGAGCUGCCAUGUUGCUCCUGGGAAUUGAAUUCGGGUCGUCUUGAAGAUCAGCCAUCUUACCAGCUCCUGUUUUGUUUGUUUUUAAACCCGAUCAUGAUGGCACAUACAUAUAAUCUUAGUAAUUUGGAAGCAUAAGAGUGCAUAGUGGUUCAAGGCCAGCUUGGGCUACAUAUUGAGACCAAGUUUCAAAAAAAUGUUUAUGAUCACAAUUUCUCAAAUAUUAGGAUUAUCAUCUGUCUUCAGAUGGUGGUUCACACUUUUAAUCCCAGCACUUAGGAGGCAGAGGCAGGUGAUUCUCUGUGAGUUUGAGGCUAGACUGGUCUACAAAGCCAAAUCCAGGACCCCCAGGGCUCUGUUACACAGAAAAACCUUGUCUCAAGAAAAGUAAAAAUGAUGAGUCAGAGGAGAUUAAAGAGAAUUAAAGCUGUUCAAGGGAUUCGGCCAAGUAAACUUUACUUUGUGCCUUAAAAACAGCACAAAACAAGUGGCUUUGUGAUCCUGCUCUCAGAUGAUCACUUUGCUCAGUGAUAAUAACAGAUGCUCAGCACAGCCUCCUGUCACAUCUGUCCAAGUGAUGUCUUCUUUUUUUUUUUGUUGUUUUUUUUUGUUUUUUUUUUUUGUUUUUGGAGACAGGGUUUCUCUGUGUAGCCAUGGCUGUCCUGGAACUCACUUUGUAGACCAGGCUGGCCUCGAACUCAGAAAUCCACCUGCCUCUGUCUCCCGAGUGCUAGGAUUAAAGGCGUGCGCCACCACCGCCCAGCAAGUGAUGUCUUCUUAACAUUGGAAAGGGGUAAAGAAAGAUGUUAGUACAGAUGGGAAACAAUGCCGGCUCCUCCUGAGAUUGCAUUUACCUAUGUAACCCAUAGUGUCCUUGAACUCUAGAUUCUUCUAAGUCAUCGUUCUCAGGACUGAGAUUACAAGUACGUGUCACCACUUCUGACUCCUGCCUUUGAACAUCAAUCUUUUGUUUUUUCUUAACACGUAAAUAUUGAUCUCCCUGUGAGGCGGCCUCUUCAUCUCUUCAUUCUCCCACCCUUCGUUUAUUAUGCUAGGCAUAGUACUCAGGGCUUCAGGAAUGCUAGGCUGCUAUUCUUUCUCUGAGACAUGGCCUCCAGCCUGUUUUUCUUAGUUUAUCAAUGCCUUUGCUCUCCCCAUGAAUUAGAACAGGACAUGCUGAUUGUGGACAAAUAGUAUCCACCACAAUUAGAGUGUAGUAGGUUUUAACUUCAGUGUCUCUGAAGUACGUUUUCCUGGGUACUCUGAUCCUGACUUUGCCAGCUGCUGGACCCUUCCUAAUAUGUCCAAGUUUAGUUUGAAUUAAAUCAAGUUGGCUAGUUGUGUGUUUGUGGGGUUUUUGUUUGUUUUUACUUUUCAUUUCUGGGACUCAAGCUGCAUACUAAAUUCAUUUGUAAUGUCUGGACUUAAUAAUAAUGUAAUUGUGAGUAUGUUCGUUCAAUGUUCGUUCAAUGUUGGCACUUUGGAAAAGGCCACAGUUUAGGGUGGACAAUUGUCUGCAUCAAAGCCAAGUCAUAUUUGCUUUAUACCAAACAAUACUAGAGAAUUAAAACACAUCAUAAAAUGUACACUGUUUUGUAUUUCACCUCUUUCAGUAUUUAAAUAAUUAUAUUAAUGCCUCCUAGAAAAGAAUUCUGUUAGAUAAUUCAGUGAUUCCUGAAAUAAAUUGGUAUUGUGUAAUU
This 3403-nucleotide long non-coding RNA is filed under the name Mus musculus (house mouse). Its description in RNAcentral is "long non-coding RNA chr4:155619935-155623338". Lineage: Eukaryota; Metazoa; Chordata; Mammalia; Rodentia; Muridae. The record is from RNAcentral.